GCCAGACUCCUACGGGAGGCAGCAGUCGGGAAUAUUGCGCAAUGGAGGAAACUCUGACGCAGUGACGCCGCGUAUAGGAAGAAGGUUUUCGGAUUGUAAACUAUUGUCGUGAGGGAAGAAAUUGACAGUACCUCAGGAGGAAGCUCCGGCUAACUAUGUGCCAGCAGCCGCGGUAAUACAUAGGGAGCAAGCGUUAUCCGGAUUUAUUGGGUGUAAAGGGAGCGUAGACGGCAGCGCAAGUCUGGAGUGAAAUGCCGGGGCCCAACCCCGGAACUGCUCUGGAAACUGUGAAGCUGGAGUGCAGGAGAGGUAAGCGGAAUUCCUGGUGUAGCGGUGAAAUGCGUAGAUAUCAGGAGGAACACCGGCGGCGAAGGCGGCUUACUGGACUGUAACUGACGUUGAGGCUCGAAGGCGUGGGGAGCAAACAGGAUUAGAUACCCGCGUA
This 445-nucleotide ribosomal RNA is filed under the name uncultured bacterium. Its description in RNAcentral is "bacterial SSU rRNA". It matches the Rfam family "Bacterial small subunit ribosomal RNA", at positions 330 to 792 of the family's 1533-position model. The record is from RNAcentral.